Chinchilla lanigera (long-tailed chinchilla) is the source of this 2536-nucleotide long non-coding RNA. RefSeq lists it as uncharacterized. The record is from RefSeq and is a predicted model, not a curated record. The transcript is spliced from 3 exons. NCBI's taxonomy places the organism in Eukaryota, Metazoa, Chordata, Mammalia, Rodentia, Chinchillidae.
ACAAAGGGAAAGUGUAUUUGCUACUAGUGUAUUUCUUCUUUCGUUUUCUUCUCGCUCAGUGCAUAUGCAGCCUGGAGACACAGCUGUGAAAGGGCAUGGCCGUGGGGCGCAGCUGCCUCUGGACCGAAUGCUCAGUCAUGCUGCACAGGACCGUGGGCAAAUCUCCUAAGCCCUGAGGAGGACCGAUCAGUAGACAAAUGACACUAACUGUGGAAGGCAGGACCACAUUCCAAUUGGAAACUCUGCAUUCAGACUGCCAGGUGUGAGCGUACUAUUGUGUGACUUGGGACCUAUUUCCCUGCAAGCAACCACGGAUGCGAGAACUACACGGAUCUCUGCAGAGAUGUCUUCUCCAAUCAACCUCAACUCUGACUAGAGAAUGUUACCCCAUGGCCUUGUGUGAAUGAUGCUACAGGGAACAGUGGAGCGAGACAGUGAAAGGAAAUGUGAUUUCCCAACCUGCUCCCUCUUCUUAAGCCUGCUGGACAGGAGCUGUAUGACUGCCCGUGGAAGGCAAGUAGCUGUCCGGGAGUUUGAGUAAGUGGCAAACACCAGGAUAAGCAGAAGCCCACAGGUGGCCUGGGGAACCCACUGCACACAUGAGGAUCAGACCCUGUGUCUCCAAAGGUGCCCCUGGAAGGGAAUCCUUGAAAGGAUGCUUUGGAGGAAAACCCCCAUCCCUCACAAGGGGAGGUGAGCCCCUUGGCACCCAUAGGUCAAACCAGGAACCACUAUAUCUUCCACAAAUAUACACAAAAGAAGCAUUGCCAAGUACUAGAGCUGCAAAAUUACUUUUCCUAUCACCUUUGCCUUCUCUUUGCUCUCUCUGUGACCUUUCACUUCCUUCUAUUUCUGCUCUGCCCCAACUUCUUUAUUAGGUCAACACAUGUGCUUCAUUUAUUACUGUAUCAUUUAUCUUUAUCCCAGGAAGAGUCUAAUUUUAAUAGAAAUGAGAGUUCUCCUUUAACUCUCCAAUGAUACAAUUUUGUGACUAUUUAAGGCAAGUCAUUUAACCUUCCUGAACCUUAGUUCCCACAUCUGUGAAACUGAUGACUACUUACAUACUUCCCUAGAUUGCUGAGUGAAGCAAUUAUAAGACACUCAGCAAUGUAAAAAAUAACAUUAAAAAGGUUUGUUCAUCAGUCUUCUCUCUGUACUUCAGGAAGCUUUGCUGCUAAAGAAGUGGCCAGUCUCUGCUUUGUGUUGUGGGUGCUGAAGAUGGCACUGAGGCACAUUCUCAGUGCAGCCAGGUUUGGAGAAGACACACUGCUGCAGAAGUCUGUCAGUCUCUAGAGGACUUCUUUCUUCCAAAGAAAGAAAAAUAAGGUGGUGGUGGGGUACAAGACAGGGCUUGGAGAAGCAAGGGUGCUUCAGGACAGCUGCUAGUGCCAUUUGGAUCUGCUUCAAACCACUAACUGGCAAUGAAUUUGGAUCUACUUCAAACAGGAGUGAGGAGCUUUGGGCUCUCAAUGGGAUGUGAUGACCAACAGCAGCUUUAGAAUACUUUUCCUGUAAGCAAAUGUAUUAGUCCAUCCUAGGUUUCAAUAACAAAAAGCCUGAGGCUGGGUACCUUUCAAAGAAGAGAGGUUUAUUUAUCCCUCAGUUCUGGAAACUGAAAGACCAAGAACAGGUAACCUCAUCUGUUCUGACUCCAGUGAGAGCCACCUCAGUUGGGUCACAACAUGGCAGACAAGUAGAAAGGGAAAUGGAUACUCUUAGAAGAGAGCAUGUGUGUGGCAUUUCUGCUCUUUAAAAAAUUUGGAUCUAGCAAAAAAACUAACUUACUGUGUAAGACCAGUGUAUCAGUCACUGUUUUACUGGAGAAACAGCUAUAACACAUGAUAUACAAAUGUAUAAGAAAUUAGAAGACUGGCUUACGAUGGUCACCCAGAAUUGGAUGUGGAAGAGUGCAGAGGGUGUCUGCACAUUGGAGACCAAAGAAUCCAGUCCAAGCUGUGGAGCUCACUGCAGCAUCCCGGGCAAGUCCAUAGCAGGAGGCCUGAGGGGUCUGCGAUGGAAGGCUGAAGAGUCUACACUGGCAGGCUGAAGGAUCCACACUGGAAACCAGAGUCUGUGCUAGAAGGUUGAAGAGUCUAUGACAGACACUGAAGGCAAGACUGGAGCUCCUCUAAAGAACAGAAGCAGAUCCAUCCUUCUUCAUUUCCCCUUUACACCAUCCAGGUGAGGAGCUGCCCUAGGUUGGGUCGUCUUUAUCCUUGGGUGUAGAAUUGCUGAGCAUAUUUAGUUAAGUUUCUCUUAAUUAAAUUUCUUAAAUUGACACAGUCAAUCAACCAUUAAAACUAGCAUUCAUUCCUGCUGAGAGAAGAUGGCCUUGACCUAAUUGCCUUCCAUGCGCCACCUCGUAAAGGUCCACUGUCCCUCACUCUACAUUGGGAACCGAGCACAUGCACCCCUGGGGAACAGGCCACAUACAAACCAUCACACUCUGUGGAGCCAAAGAGAGCUGUAAAAGUCAGCCUUUUAACUUCUUCACAAACAAAGCCCCAGGUGAAUCAGUCGAAGCAGAGUGGAUGGC